CCUACGGGAGGCAGCAGUGGGGAAUAUUGGGCAAUGGGCGCAAGCCUGACCCAGCAACGCCGCGUGAAGGAAGAAGGCCCUCGGAUUGUAAACUUCUUUUAUCAGGGACGAAACAAAUGACGGUACCUGAUGAAUAAGUCACGGCUAACUACGUGCCAGCAGACGGGGUAAUACGUAGGUGGCAAGCGUUAUCCGGAUUUACUGGGUGUAAAGGGCGUGUAGGCGGGUCUACAAGUCAGAUGUGAAAUCUCAAGGCUCAACCAGGGAACUGCAUUGGACAAUGUAGAUCUUGAGUGAUGGAGAGGCAGGCGGAAUUCCGUGUGUAGCGGUGAAAUGCGUAGAUAUAAGGAAGAACACCAGUGGCGAAGGCGGCCUGCUGGACAUUAACUGACGCUGAGGCGCGAAAGCGUGGGGAGCGAACAGGAUUAGAUACCCUUGUAGUC
Molecule: ribosomal RNA, 443 nt
Filed under: uncultured bacterium
Lineage: Bacteria
Description: partial 16S ribosomal RNA
Rfam family: Bacterial small subunit ribosomal RNA
Source: RNAcentral